Molecule: ribosomal RNA, 491 nt
Filed under: uncultured bacterium
Lineage: Bacteria
Description: partial 16S ribosomal RNA
Rfam family: Bacterial small subunit ribosomal RNA
Source: RNAcentral
GUGAACGCUGGCGGUAGGCCUAACACAUGCAAGUCGAACGGCAGCACAGUAAGAGCUUGCUCUUACGGGUGGCGAGUGGCGGACGGGUGAGGAAUACAUCGGAAUCUACUUUUUCGUGGGGGAUAACGUAGGGAAACUUACGCUAAUACCGCAUACGACCUACGGGUGAAAGCAGGGGAUCUUCGGACCUUGCGCGAUUGAAUGAGCCGAUGUCGGAUUAGCUAGUUGGCGGGGUAAAGGCCCACCAAGGCGACGAUCCGUAGCUGGUCUGAGAGGAUGAUCAGCCACACUGGAACUGAGACACGGUCCAGACUCCUACGGGAGGCAGCAGUGGGGAAUAUUGGACAAUGGGCGCAAGCCUGAUCCAGCCAUACCGCGUGGGUGAAGAAGGCCUUCAGGUUGUAAAGCCCUUUUGUUGGGAAAGAAAAGCAGCAGGUUAAUACCCCGCUGUUCUGACGGUACCCAAAGAAUAAGCACCGGCUAACUUCGUG